RNAcentral lists this long non-coding RNA (8326 nucleotides) under Mytilus galloprovincialis (Mediterranean mussel). The record is from RNAcentral. Lineage: Eukaryota; Metazoa; Mollusca; Bivalvia; Mytilida; Mytilidae.
GUAUGUCUAAUGUUGUCUUUUCUUUUUUUCUAGCAGGGUCGACGCAGAUUGAGGUAUUCCAGGUAUGUUUUCUGUUAAGACCUUUGUGUAUGUCUAAUUUUUUUCCUUUAGGUCGUGUGGCUUUCUUUUUUUUUGCAGGGCCCGACGCAGAUUAAGGAUUUUCAGGUAUGUUUUCUGUUAAGACCUUUGUGUAUGUCUAAUGUUGUCUUUUCUUUUUUUCUAGCAGGGCGCGACGCAGAUUGCAGAUUCGCAGGUAUGUUUUCUGUUAAGGCCUUUGAGUAUGUCUAAUGUCACCUUUUCUUUUUUUUCUCAGCAGGGCGCGACGCAGAUUGAGGAAUUCAGGUAUGUUUUCUGUUAAGACCUUUGUGUAUGUCUAAUGUCGCCUUUUCUUUUUUUCUAGCAGGGGGCGACGCAGAUUGAGGAUUUUCAGGUAUGUUUUCUGUUAAGACCUUUGUGUAUGUCUAAUUUCGCCUUUUCUUUUUUUCUAGCAGGGUGCGACGCAGAUUGAGGAUUCCCAGGUAUGUUUUCCGUUAAGACCUUUGUGUAUGUCUAAUUUCGCCUUUUCUUUUUUUCUAGCAGGGCGCGACGCAGAUUGAGGAUUCCCAGGUAUGUUUUCUGUUAAGACCUUUGUGUAUGUCUAAUGUCGCCUUUUCUUUUUUUUCUAGCAGGUCGCGACGCAGAUUGAGGAAUUCCAGGUAUGUUUUCUGUUAAGACCUUUGUGUAUGUCUAAUGUUGUCUUUUUCUUUUUUUUCUAGCAGGGCGCGACGCAGAUUGAGAGAUUCCAGGUAUGUUUUCUGUUAAGACCUUUGUGUAUGUCUAAUGUCGCCUUUUCUUUUUUUCUAGCAGGUCGCGACGCAGAUUGAGGAAUUCCAGGUAUGUUUUCUGUUAAGACCUUUGUGUAUGUCUAAUGUUGCUUUUCUUUUUUUCUAGCAGGUCUUGACGCAGAUUGGAAAUUCCUUUAGGUCGUGUGGCCUUUUUUUUUUUUUUAGCAGGGCGCGACGCAGAUUGAGGAUUUUCAGGUAUGUUUUCUGUUAAGGCCUUUGAGUAUGUCUAAUGUCACCUUUUCUUUUUUUUUCCAGCAGGGCGCGACGCAGAUUGAAGAUUCGCAGGUAUGUUUUCUGUUAAGGCCUUUGUGUAUGUCUAAUGUCGCCUUUUCUUUUUUUCUAGCAGGGCGCGACGCAGAUUGAGGAAUUCAGGUAUGUUUUCUGUUAAGACCUUUGUGUGUAUGUCUAAUGUCGCCUUUUCUUUUUUUCUAGCAGGGCGCGACGCAGAUUGAGGAAUUCAGGUAUGUUUUCUGUUAAGACCUUUGUGUAUGUCUAAUGUUGCCUUUUCUUUUUUUCUAGCAGGGCGCGACGCAGAUUGAGGAAUUCCAGGUAUGUUUUCUGUUAAGACCUUUGUGUAUGUCUAAUUUCGCCUUUUCUUUUUUUCUAGCAGGGCGUGACGCAGAUUGAGGAUUUUCAGGUAUGUUUUCUGUUAAGACCUUUGUGUAUGUCUAAUGUUGCCUUUUCUUUUUUUCUAGCAGGGCGCGACACAGAUUGAGGAUUUAGGUAUGUUUUCUGUUAAGACCUUUGUGUAUGUCUAAUGGUUCCUUUUUUUUUCCUUUAGGUCGUGUGGACUUUUUUUUUUGCAGGGCGCGACGCAGAUUGAGGAUUUUCAGGUAUGUUUUCUGUUAAGACCUUUGUGUAUGUCUAAUGUUGUCCUUUUCUUUUUUUCUAGCAGGGCGCGACGCAGAUUGAGGAUUCCAGGUAUGUUUUCUGUUAAGGCCUUUGAGUAUGUCUAAUGUCACCUUUUCUUUUUUUUUCCAGCAGGACGCGACGCAGAUUGAAGAUUCGAAGGUAUGUUUUCUGUUAAGACCUUUGUGUAUGUCUAAUGUUGCCUUUUCUUUUUUUCUAGCAGGGCGCGACGCAGAUUGAGGAUUUUCAGGUAUGUUUUCUGUUAAGACCUUUGUGUAUGUCUAAUGUUGCCUUUUCUUUUUUUCUAGCAGGGCGCGACGCAGAUUGAGGAAUUCCAGGUAUGUUUUCUGUUAAGACCUUUGUGUAUGUCUAAUGUCGCCUUUUCUUUUUUUCUAGCAGGUCGCGACGCAGAUUGAGGAAUUCCAGGUAUGUUUUCUGUUAAGACCUUUGUGUAUGUCUAAUGUCGCCUUUUCUUUUUUUCUAGCAGGUCUUGACGCAGAUUGCCUUUAGGUCGUGUGGCCUUUUUUUUUUUUUAGCAGGGCGCGACGCAGAUUGAGGAUUUCCAGGUAUGUUUUCUGUUAAGACCUUUGUGUAUGUCUAAUGUUGUCUUUUCUUUUUUUUCCCAGCAGAGCGCGACGCAGAUUGAAGAUUCGCAGGUAUGUUUUCUGUUAAGACCUUUGUGUAUGUCUAAUGUCGCCUUUUCUUUUUUUCUAGCAGGGCGCGACGCAGAUUGAGGAAUUCCAGGUAUGUUUUCUGUUAAGACCUUUGUGUAUGUCUAAUUUCGCCUUUUCUUUUUUUCUAGCAGGGGCGACGCAGAUUGAGGAUUCCAGGUAUGUUUUCUGUUAAGACCUUUGUGUAUGUCUAAUUUCGCCUUUUCUUUUUUUCUAGCAGGGCGCGACGCAGAUUGAGGAUUCGCAGGUAUGUUUUCUGUUAAGACCUUUGUGUAUGUCUAAUGUUGCCUUUUCUUUUUUUCUAGCAGGUCGCGACGCAGAUUGAGGAAUUCCAGGUAUGUUUUCUGUUAAGACCUUUGUGUAUGUCUAAUGUUGUCUUUUCUUUUUUUCUAGCAGGGUGCGACGCAGAUUGAGGAUUCCAGGUAUGUUUUCUGUUAAGACCUUUGUGUAUGUCUAAUGUUUCUUUUUUUUUCCUUUAGGUCGUGUGGCCUUUCUUUUUUUUAUGACGCAGAUUGAGGAUUUUCAGGUAUGUUUUCUGUUAAGACCUUUGUGUAUGUCUAAUGUUGUCUUUUCUUUUUUUCUAGCAGGGCGCGACGCAGAUUGAGGAUUCCCAGGUAUGUUUUCUGUUAAGACCUUUGUGUAUGUCUAAUUGCGCCUUUUCUUUUUUUUCUAGCAGGGCGCGACGCAGAUUGAGGAUUCCAGGUAUGUUUUCUGUUAAGACCUUUGUGUAUGUCUAAUGUUGUCUUUUCUUUUUUUCUAGCAGGGCGCGACGCAGAUUGGAGAUUCAAGGUAUGUUUUCUGUUAAGGCCUUUGUGUAUGUCUAAUGUCGACUUUUCUUUUUUUCUAGCAGGGCGCGAUGCAGAUUGAGGAUUUUCAGGUAUGUUUUCUGUUAAGACCUUUGUGUAUGUCUAAUUUCGCCUUUUCUUUUUUUCUAGCAGGUCUUGACGCAGAUUGGAAAUUCCUUUAGGUCAUGUGGCCUUUUUUUUUUUUUUAGCAGGGCGCGACGCAGAUUGAGGAUUUUCAGGUAUGUUUUCUGUUAAGACCUUUGUGUAUGUCUAAUGUUGUCUUUUCUUUUUUUUCUGCAGGGCGCGACGCAGAUUGCAGGAUUCGCAGGUAGUAUGUUUUCUGUUAAGACCUUUGUGUAUGUCUAAUGUCGCCUUUUCUUUUUUUCUAGCAGGUCGCGACGCAGAUUGAGGAAUUCCAGGUAUGUUUUCUGUUUAAGACCUUUGUGUAUGUCUAAUGUUGUCUUUUCUUUUUUUCUAGCAGGGUGCGACGCAGAUUGAGGUAUUCCAGGUAUGUUUUCUGUUAAGACCUUUGUGUAUGUCUAAUGGUUCCUUUUUUUUCCUUUAGUCUGUGGGCUUUUCUUUUUUUUUGGCAGGGCGCGACGCAGAUUGAGGAUUUUCAGGUAUGUUUUCUGUUAAGACCUUUGUGUAUGUCUAAUGUUGUCUUUUCUUUUUUUUCUAGCAGGGCGCGACGCAGAUUGAGGAUUCGCAGGUAUGUUUUCUGUUAAGACCUUUGUGUAUGUCUAAUGUUCACGCCUUUUCUUUUUUUCUAGCAGGUCGCGACGCAGAUUGAGGAAUUCCAGGUAUGUUUUCUGUUAAGACCUUUGUGUAUGUCUAAUGUUGUCUUUUCUUUUUUUCUAGCAGGGCGCGACGCAGAUUGAGGAUUUUCAGGUAUGUUUUCUGUUAAGACCUUUGUGUAUGUCUAAUGUUGUCUUUUCUUUUUUCUAGCAGGGCGCGACGCAGAUUGAGGAUUCCAGGUAUGUUUUCUGUUAAGACCUUUGUGUAUGUCUAAUGUUGCCUUUUCUUUUUUUCUAGCAGGUCGCGACGCAGAUUGAGGAAUUCCAGGUAUGUUUUCUGUUAAGACCUUUGUGUAUGUCUAAUGUCGCCUUUUCUUUUUUUCUAGCAGGGUCGCGACGCAGAUUGAGGUAUUCCAGGUAUGUUUUCUCUUAAGACCUUUGUGUAUGUCUAAUGUCGCCUUUUCUUUUUUUCUAGCAGGUCUUGACGCAGAUUGGAAAUUCCUUUAGGUCGUGUGGCCUUUUUUUUUUUUUUAGCAGGGCGCGACGCAGAUUGAGGAUUUUCAGGUAUGUUUUCUGUUAAGGCCUUUGAGUAUGUCUAAUGUCACCUUUUCUUUUUUUUUCCAGCAGGGCGCGACGCAGAUUGAAGAUUCGAAGGUAUGUUUUCUGUUAAGGCCUUUGUGUAUGUCUAAUGUCGACUUUUCUUUUUUUCUAGCAGGGCGCGAUGCAGAUUGAGGAUUUUCAGGUAUGUUUUCUGUUAAGACCUUUGUGUAUGUCUAAUUUCGCCUUUUCUUUUUUUCUAGCAGGUGGCGACGCAGAUUGAGGAAUUCCAGGUAUGUUUUCUGUUAAGACCUUUGUGUAUGUCUUUAUUGUUGUCUUUUUCUUUUUUUCUGGCAGGGCGCGACGCAGAUUGAGAUUCGCAGGUAUGUUUUCUGUUAAGGCCUUUGUGUAUGUCUAAUGUCGCCUUUUCUUUUUUCUAGCAGGUCGCGACGCAGAUUGAGGAAUUCCAGGUAUGUUUUCUGUUUAGACCUUUGUGUAUGUCUAAUGUUGUCUUUUCUUUUUUUCUAGCAGGGUGCGACGCAGAUUGAGGUAUUCCAGGUAUGUUUUCUGUUAAGACCUUUGUGUAUGUCUAAUGGUUCCUUUUUUUUUCCUUUAGGUGGUGUGGCCUUUUUUUUUUUUGCAGGGCCCGACGCAGAUUGAGGAUUUUCAGGUAUGUUUUCUGUUAAGGCCUUUGAGUAUGUCUAAUGUCACCUUUUCUUUUUUUUCCCAGCAGAGCGCGACGCAGAUUGAAGAUUCGAAGGUAUGUUUUCUGUUAAAGCCUUUGUGUAUGUCUAAUGUCGCCUUUUCUUUUUUUCUAGCAGGGCGCGACGCAGAUUGAGGAAUUCCAGGUAUGUUUUCUGUUAAGACCUUUGUGUAUGUCUAAUUUGCCUUUUCUUUUUUUCUAGCAGGGCGCGACGCAGAUUGAGGAUUUUCCAGGUAUGUUUUCUGUUAAGACCUUUGUGUAUGUCUAAUGUUGUCUUUUCUUUUUUUCUAGCAGGGCGCGACGCAGAUUGGAGAUUCCCAGGUAUGUUUUCUGUUAAGACCUUUGUGUAUGUCAAAUGGUUCCUUUUUUUUCCUUUAGGUCAUGUGGCCUAUGGGACAUUUGCAGGUAUGUUUUCUGUUAAGGCCUUUGUGUAUGUCUAAUGUUGUCUUUUCUUUUUUUCUAGCAGGUCUUGACGCAGAUUGAGAAUUCCUUUAGUCGUGUGGCCUUUUUUUUUUUUUUUUCUAGCAGGGCGCGACGCAGAUUGAGGAUUUCCAGGUAUGUUUUCUGUUAAGGCCUUUGUGUAUGUCAAAUGUGGCCUUUUCUUUUUUCUGGCAGGGCACGAUGCAGAUUGAAGAUUCGCAGGUAUGUUUUCUGUUAAGGCCUUUGUGUAUGUCUAAUGGUUCCAUUUUUUCCUUUAGGUGGUGUGGCCUAUGUCACAUUUGACGGUAUGUUUUCUGUUAAGGCCUUCGUGUAUGUCUCAUGUUGCCUUUUCUUUUUUUCUGGCAGGGCGCGACGCAGAUUGAGGAUUUUCAGGUAUGUUAUCUGUUAAGACCUUGGUGUACGUCUAAUGUUGCCUUUUCUUUUUUUCUGGCAGGGCGCGACACAGAUUGGAGAUUCGCAGGUAUGUUUUCCGUUAAGGCCUUUGUGUAUGUCUAAUGUCGCCUUUUCCUUUUUUCUAGCAGGGCGAGACGCAGAUUGAGGAUUUUCAGGUAUGUUUUCUGGUAAGGCCUUUGUGUAUGUCUAAUGUCGCCUUUUCUUUUUUUCUAGCAGGGCGCGACGCAGAUUGAGGAUUUUCAGGUAUGUUUUCUGUUAAGACCUUUGUGUAUGUUUAAUGUUGCCUUUUCUUUUUUUCUGGCAGGGCACGACGCAGAUUGAGGAUUUUCAGGUAUGUUUUCUGUUAAGGUUUUUGUGUAUGUCUAAUGUCGCCUUUUCUUUUUCUGGCAGGGCGCGACGCAGAUUAAGGAAUUCCAGGUAUGUUUUCUGUUAAGACUUUGUGUAUGUCUAAUGUUGCCUUUUCUUUUUUUCUAGCAGGACGCGACGCAGAUUGAGAUUCGAAGGUAUGUUUUCUGUUAAGGCCUUUGUGUAUGUCUAAUGUCGCCUUUUCUUUUUUUCUAGCAGGUCGCGACGCAGAUUGAGGAAUUCCAGGUAUGUUUUCUGUUAAGACCUUUGUGUAUGUCUAAUGUCGCCUUUUCUUUUUUUCUAGCAGGGCGCGACGCAGAUUGAGGAAUUCCAGGUAUGUUUUCUGUUAAGACCUUUGUGUAUGUCUAAUGUCGCCUUUUCUUUUUUUCUAGCAGGUCUUGACGCAGAUUGAGAAAUUCCUUAGGUCAUGUGGCCUUUUUUUUUUUUAGCAGGGCGCCGACAGAUUGAGGAUUUUCAGGUAUGUUUUCUGUUAAGACCUUUGUGUAUGUCUAAUGUUGUCUUUCUUUUUUUUCUAGCAGGGCGCGACGCAGAUUGAGGAAUUCCAGGUAUGUUUUCUGUUAAGGCCUUUGAGUAUGUCUAAUGUCACCUUUUCUUUUUUUUCCAGCAGGGCGCGAUGCAGAUUGAAGAUUCGAAGGUAUGUUUUCUGUUAAGGCCUUUGUGUAUGUCUAAUGUCGCCUUUUCUUUUUUUCUAGCAGGGCGCGACGCAGAUUGAGGAUUUUCAGGUAUGUUUUCUGUUAAGACCUUUGUGUAUGUCUAAUGAUUUCUUUUUUUUUUUCCUUUAGGUCGUGUGGCCUUUUUUUUUUGCAGGGCGCGACGCAGAUUGAGGAUUUUCAGGUAUGUUUUCUGUUAAGACCUUUGUGUAUGUCUAAUUUCGCCUUUUCUUUUUUCUAGCAGGGCGUGACGCAGAUUGAGGAUUCCCAGGUAUGUUUUCUGUUAAGACCUUUGUGUAUGUCUAAUGUUGUCCUUUUCUUUUUUUCUAGCAGGUCGCGAACGACAGAUUGAGGAAUUCCAGGUAUGUUUUCUGUUAAGACCUUUGUGUAUGUCUAAUGUUGUCUUUUCUUUUUUUUCUAGCAGGGCGCGACGCAGAUUGAGGAUUUUCAGGUAUGUUUUCUGUUAAGACCUUUGUGUAUGUCUAAUGUUGUCUUUUCUUUUUUUCUAGCAGGGCGCGACGCAGAUUGGAGAUUCGCAGGUAUGUUUUCUGUUAAGACCUUUGUGUAUGUCUAAUGUUGCCUUUUCUUUUUUUUUCUGGCAGGGCGCGACGCAGAUUGAGGAUUCCAGGUAUGUUUUCUGUUAAGACCUUUGUGUAUGUCUAAUGUUGUCUUUUCUUUUUUUUCUAGCAGGGCGCGACGCAGAUUGAGGAUUCCCAGGUAUGUUUUCUGUUAAGACCUUUGUGUAUGUCUAAUGUUGUCUUUUCUUUUUUUUCUAGCAGGGCGCGACGCAGAUUGAGAUUCAGGUAUGUUUUCUGUUAAGGCCUUUGUGUAUGUCUAAUGUCGACUUUUCUUUUUUUCUAGCAGGGCGCGAUGCAGAUUGAGGAUUUUCAGGUAUGUUUUCUGUUAAGACCUUUGUGUAUGUCUAAUUUCGCCUUUUCUUUUUUUCUAGCAGGUCUUGACGCAGAUUGGAAAUUCCUUUAGGUUGUGUGGCCUUUUUUUUUUUUUUGCAGGGCGCGACGCAGAUUGAGGAUUUUCAGGUAUGUUUUCUGUUAAGACCUUUGUGUAUGUCUAAUGUUGUCUUUUCUUUUUUCUGCAGGGCUUGACGCAGAUUGGAAAUUCGCAGGUAUGUUUUCUGUUAAGACCUUUGUGUAUGUCUAAUGUCGCCUUUUCUUUUUUUUCUAGCAGGUCGCGACGCAGAUUGAGGAAUUCCAGGUAUGUUUUCUGUUAAGACCUUUGUGUAUGUCUAAUGUCGCCUUUUCUUUUUUUCUAGCAGGUCGCGACGCAGAUUGAGGUAUUCCAGGUAUGUUUUCUGUUAAGACCUAGUUGUAUUUAUUAUAAACGUUUAAAUCUUGAAUUUUGAUAAAGGAAUAUUA